RNAcentral lists this transfer RNA (72 nucleotides) under bacterium. RNAcentral describes it as "tRNA-Asn". It matches the Rfam family "tRNA". Rfam says of the family: Transfer RNA (tRNA) molecules are approximately 80 nucleotides in length. Their secondary structure includes four short double-helical elements and three loops (D, anti-codon, and T loops). The record is from RNAcentral.
UCCUCGGUAGCUCAGUGGUAGAGCGGAUGGCUGUUAACCAUUAGGUCGGGGGUUCAAAUCCCUCCCGAGGAG